CCUACGGGAGGCAGCAGUGGGGAAUCUUGGACAAUGGGGGAAACCCUGAUCCAGCCAUGCCGCGUGAGCGAUGAAGGCCUUAGGGUUGUAAAGCUCUUUCGUGGGGGAAGAUAAUGACUGUACCCCAAGAAGAAGCCCCGGCUAACUCCGUGC
This 153-nucleotide ribosomal RNA is filed under the name uncultured bacterium. Its description in RNAcentral is "partial 16S ribosomal RNA". It matches the Rfam family "Bacterial small subunit ribosomal RNA", at positions 338 to 508 of the family's 1533-position model. The record is from RNAcentral.